AUUGAACGCUGGCGGCAUGCCUUACACAUGCAAGUCGAACGGUAACAGGUCUUCGGAUGCUGACGAGUGGCGAACGGGUGAGUAAUACAUCGGAACGUGCCCGAUCGUGGGGGAUAACGAGGCGAAAGCUUUGCUAAUACCGCAUACGAUCUACGGAUGAAAGCGGGGGAUCUUCGGACCUCGCGCGGACGGAGCGGCCGAUGGCAGAUUAGGUAGUUGGUGGGAUAAAAGCUUACCAAGCCGACGAUCUGUAGCUGGUCUGAGAGGAUGAUCAGCCACACUGGGACUGAGACACGGCCCAGACUCCUACGGGAGGCAGCAGUGGGGAAUUUUGGACAAUGGGCGAAAGCCUGAUCCAGCCAUGCCGCGUGCAGGAUGAAGGCCUUCGGGUUGUAAACUGCUUUUGUACGGAACGAAAAGCCUCUUUUCUAAUAAAAGAAGGG
This 443-nucleotide ribosomal RNA is filed under the name Diaphorobacter nitroreducens. Its description in RNAcentral is "bacterial SSU rRNA". It matches the Rfam family "Bacterial small subunit ribosomal RNA", at positions 30 to 468 of the family's 1533-position model. The record is from RNAcentral. Lineage: Bacteria; Pseudomonadati; Pseudomonadota; Betaproteobacteria; Burkholderiales; Comamonadaceae.